AUGAGGACUAGCCUUCUUCUCCUUGCUGCUCUUGGUGUUAUCUCUGUCAUCACCACACCGGCAGUAGCGCUCAAAAGCAAAUGGCAGCCGAUCAAGAACAUCACCAACCCACAUGUCCAGGACCUCGGCACCUGGGCGGUGGUGAAGUAUCGUAUGGUGUCCAACAGCAGGCUCCAUUUCAAACAAGUGGUAAGCGGUGAGGUGCAGAGAAUGACUGAGGGCAUGAACUACCGGCUUGAUGUCCAAGUAUCUCGGAUGGAUCACAAGGAUGCCAUGUACAAAGCAGGAGUUCUCGAGGAGGACAAACCGCUCAGCACCAUUCGCAAGCUUGUCUCCUUCGCCAAGGCCAAAUGA
This 354-nucleotide ribosomal RNA is filed under the name Triticum aestivum (bread wheat). RNAcentral's name for it is "partial small subunit ribosomal RNA". Lineage: Eukaryota; Viridiplantae; Streptophyta; Magnoliopsida; Poales; Poaceae. The record is from RNAcentral.